CUGGCGGCGCGCCUAACACAUGCAAGUCGAACGAGAGAUGAAGAGCUUGCUCUUCAGAUCGAGUGGCGAACGGGUGAGUAACGCGUGAGGAACCUGCCUCAAAGAGGGGGACAACAGUUGGAAACGACUGCUAAUACCGCAUAAGCCCACAGCUCGGCAUCGAGCAGAGGGAAAAGGAGCAAUCCGCUUUGAGAUGAGCCUGCACCUGAUUAGCUUGUUGGUGGUGUAAUGGACUACCAAGGCGACGAUCAGUAGCUGGUUUGAGAGGAUGAUCAGCCACAAUGGGACUGAGACACGGCCCAUACUCCUACGGGAGGCAGCAGUAGGGAAUUUUGCGCAAUGGGCGAAAGCCUGACGCAGCAACGCCGCGUGUGUGAUGACGCCCUUCGGGGUGUAAAACACUGUCAGUAGGGACGAAUUUUGACGGUACCUACAGAGGAAGCACCGGCUAACUCCGUG
RNAcentral lists this ribosomal RNA (459 nucleotides) under uncultured bacterium. RNAcentral describes it as "bacterial SSU rRNA". It matches the Rfam family "Bacterial small subunit ribosomal RNA", at positions 36 to 507 of the family's 1533-position model. The record is from RNAcentral.